Molecule: non-coding RNA, 45 nt
Organism: Schistosoma margrebowiei
Lineage: Eukaryota; Metazoa; Platyhelminthes; Trematoda; Strigeidida; Schistosomatidae
Source: Rfam
AUACAGUUGACGUGUCCCAAAUAAAACGAAACACGCGUCCUGGAU